This 484-nucleotide ribosomal RNA is filed under the name uncultured bacterium. RNAcentral's name for it is "partial 16S ribosomal RNA". It matches the Rfam family "Bacterial small subunit ribosomal RNA", at positions 29 to 507 of the family's 1533-position model. The record is from RNAcentral.
AUUGAACGCUGGCGGCAUGCUUUACACAUGCAAGUCGAACGGCAGCGCGGGCUUCGGCCUGGCGGCGAGUGGCGAACGGGUGAGUAAUACAUCGGAACGUGCCCAGUAGUGGGGGAUAGCUCGGCGAAAGCCGGAUUAAUACCGCAUACGACCUGAGGGUGAAAGCGGGGGAUCUUCGGACCUCGCGCUAUUGGAGCGGCCGAUGGCAGAUUAGUUAGUUGGUGGGGUAAAGGCCUACCAAGGCGACGAUCUGUAGCUGGUCUGAGAGGACGACCAGCCACACUGGGACUGAGACACGGCCCAGACUCCUACGGGAGGCAGCAGUGGGGAAUUUUGGACAAUGGGCGAAAGCCUGAUCCAGCAAUGCCGCGUGUGUGAUGAAGGCCUUCGGGUUGUAAAGCACUUUUGGCGGGAACGAAAAGGACUGUGCCAAUACCACGGUUCGAUGACGGUACCCGCAGAAUAAGCACCGGCUAACUACGUG